This 1283-nucleotide long non-coding RNA is filed under the name Olea europaea subsp. europaea. The record is from RNAcentral. Lineage: Eukaryota; Viridiplantae; Streptophyta; Magnoliopsida; Lamiales; Oleaceae.
CUUCUGGACUUGACGCUUCCGUCCAUUCUUGAACUGGUGCAUCAACAUUACGUUCGUCCUCGAUAAUCAUGUUAUGCAUUAUUAUGCAUGUAGUCAUGAUAUCAUGUAAUACUUGUUUUUCCCAAAACCUUGCGGGUCCUUUCGUUAUUGCAAACUUCGAUUGUAGAACACCAAAUGCACGUUCAACAUCUUUUCUACACGCUUCUUGUUUCAUAGCAAAUAACUUUUUUUUAGGACCACGUGGCUCAUGAAUUGUUUGCACAAUAGUAGACCAUUUUGGGUAUAUACUAUCAGCUAGAUAGUAACCCAUGUUAUAUUGUCUUCCUUGAAUGACGUAUUGAGCUGGAGGAGCAAUACCUUGAGUGAGGUUUGCGAAAAGAUGAGAUCUCUCCAAAACGUUGAUAUCGUUGUUCGAACCAGGAAGUCCAAAAUAUGCAUGCCAUAUCCAAAGAUCAUAAUCAGCUACAGCUUCGAGGAUAAUAGUUGGGGAUCCACUACGACCUGCAUAUUGUCCUGCCCAUGCGGUUGGACAAUUUUUCCAUUUCCAAUGCAUACAAUCUAGACUGCCCAACAUUCCGGGAAAACCACGUUGUUUAUUAACAUGGAGUAGUCUCUCAAUGUCAUUCGCAGUAGGUGAUCUUAGAUAUUGCUCAGCAAAUAUUUCGACAACGGCACGACAAAAUCUCUUCAAACUUUCAAUGACGGUAGAUUCACCUAUUUUAAUAUACUCAUCAGUAGAAUCUGCUGACACGCCAUAUGCCAACAUCCGAAACACUGCCGUUAUCUUUUGAUGACUAGACAAUCCGAGUCUACCUAGUCCAUCUUGUUUCUGCACAAAAUAAUUGUCAUGACCUUCCACCGCCGUUAGUAUUCGACCAAAUAAAUGUCGAGACAUUCGAAAUCGUCGACGGAACAUAUUUUCAUUGAAACGUGGGUUUUCAGCAAAGUAGUCGUUGAAGAGAUUUACAUCAGCGAUUUGUCGAUCACGAUCGAUGGUUCUACGACCCUGAAUGGAGCCUCCAUGUGGCCUUUUGUAAACAUGUUGAGUAGCGUACUGAGCUAUGAGUAGGUUUCUAUUCGAACAUAGACGAGUAAUAGCUUGUUGUCGUUCUUCAAGAAAAUCAUUAUCAUUUUCUCCAUCGGACAAUGACGAUGAAUUUGAAUCAGACACAUAAGAGGGACCUCCAAUAUUGAAAUUCAUUUUUGAGUAGUAUGAUUGAGGGAUGAGGAUUGCUCGACCUCAAUACUGCCUUUUAUUGUUGCAGAAUACGUGGUCCACCGUU